GAUUAUUCUUGUUUUUAUUUUGCACCGCGCGCGGGUAAAAAGAUUUUUGUUCCGCUGCUCGGGUUUUCGUCGUUUGAUUUGAAUUUGGAUCAACAGCAGCUCGUGUUAGGGAAUGCUGCAGAAGUAGCCAAAUUCUCCCUCCAGCGGAACGGUUACCGGUUCGGUAAUCAGUGGAAAAAUCGAGGAAUCCUAACGCUGCACAUACCGGUACACGAUAACGGGAAAGGAGGAGAAAAGUGUAAAGCGUAAAACCGAACCCGGAAGCAGCAGUAGUGGUUCCGCCGGGUGGUGUGGUUUACCUGUUUGGUGAUUUCAUUGGUGGAAAUGUAUAGUAAAAGCUUCAAGAACGCGAUGAUGGAAAAACUCGCGGAGUGAUGCGAACAAAAAUAAAAGAGAAGAUAAAAAAAAUCAAAUCUUAC
Molecule: long non-coding RNA, 419 nt
Organism: Uranotaenia lowii
Lineage: Eukaryota; Metazoa; Arthropoda; Insecta; Diptera; Culicidae
Exons: 3
Source: RefSeq, a predicted model, not a curated record